This 489-nucleotide ribosomal RNA is filed under the name uncultured bacterium. Its description in RNAcentral is "partial 16S ribosomal RNA". It matches the Rfam family "Bacterial small subunit ribosomal RNA", at positions 28 to 507 of the family's 1533-position model. The record is from RNAcentral.
GACGAACGCUGGCGGCGUGCUUAACACAUGCAAGUCGAACGGAAAGGCCCCCACCUUGGUGGGGGUGCUCGAGUGGCGAACGGGUGAGUAACACGUGGGUGAUCUGCCCUGUACUUCGGGAUAAGCUUGGGAAACUGGGUCUAAUACCGGAUAGGACCAUGGUUUAGUGUCUCAUGGUGGAAAAAUUAUUGUUUUGGUGCAGGAUGAGCUCGCGGCCUAUCAGCUUGUUGGUGGGGUAAUGGCCUACCAAGGCGUCGACGGGUAGCCGGCCUGAGAGGGUGGACGCCCACAUUGGGACUGAGAUACGGCCCAGACUCCUACGGGAGGCAGCAGUGGGGAAUAUUGCACAAUGGGCGCAAGCCUGAUGCAGCGACGCCGCGUGGGGGAUGACGGCCUUCGGGUUGUAAACUCCUUUCGUUAGGGACGAAGCCACACCUUUUUUGGGUGUGGUGACGGUACCUUUGUUAAGAAGCACCGGCUAACUACGUG